CUUUACUGUAACCUGGAAUUGGGUUCGGGCUCUUCUUGCGCAGCCUAGGUGGGAGGCGUUGAAAGCUUUCUUUUGGGGAAGCUGGAGCCAUCAGUGAGAGACCACUCUGGAGGAGCUAGAAUUCUAAUGGCGUUCCUUGAGGCAGGACGCUUGACAGUUUCAGGUGGGCAGUUUGACUGGGGCGGUCACCUCCUAAAAGGUAACGGAGGUGUGCAAAGGUUCCCUCAGGCUGGACGGAAAUCAGCCGUAGAGUGUAAAGGCAGAAGGGAGCUUGACUGCAAGACCUACAAGUCGAGCAGGGGCGAAAGCCGGCCUUAGUGAUCCGACGGUUCCAUGUGGAAGGGCCGUCGCUCAACGGAUAAAAGUUA
This 368-nucleotide ribosomal RNA is filed under the name uncultured organism. Its description in RNAcentral is "bacterial LSU rRNA". It matches the Rfam family "Bacterial large subunit ribosomal RNA", at positions 2099 to 2465 of the family's 2925-position model. The record is from RNAcentral.